UUCCGGUUGAUCCUGCCGGACCUGACUGCUAUCGGAUUGAUACUAAGCCAUGCUAGUCUUUGUAGUAAUACAAGGCAUACGGCUCAGUAACACGUAGUCAACUUACCCUAUGGACGAGGAUAAUCUCGGGAAACUGAGCAUAAUACUCGAUAGAUCAUAAUGCCUGGAAUGGUUUAUGGUUAAAAUGAUUCGUCGCCAUAGGAUGGGACUGCGGCCUAUCAGCUUGUUGGUGAGGUAAUGGCCCACCAAGGCGAUUACAGGUACGGGCUCUGAGAGGAGAAGCCCGGAGAUGGGUACUGAGACAAGGACCCAGGCCCUAUGGGGCGCAGCAGGCGAGAAAACUUUGCAAUGUGCGAAAGCACGACAAGGUUAAUCCGAGUGAUUUCUGCUAAAGAAAUCUUUUGCAAGUCAUAAAACCACUAGUGAAUAAGGGGUGGGCAAGUUCUGGUGUCAGCCGCCGCGGUAAAACCAGCACCUCAAGUGGUCAGGAGGAUUAUUGGGCCUAAAGCAUCCGUAGCCGGCUCUGUAAGUUUUCGGUUAAAUCCAUGUGCUCAACACAUGGGCUGCCGAAAAUACUGCAUAGCUAGGGAGUGGGAGAGGUAGACGGUACUCGGUAGGAAGGGGUAAAAUCCUUUGAUCUAUCGAUGACCACCUGUGGCGAAGGCGGUCUACCAGAACACGUUCGACGGUGAGGGAUGAAAGCUGGGGGAGCAAACCGGAUUAGAUACCCGGGUAGUCCCAGCUGUAAACGAUGCAGACUCGAUGAUGCAUUGGCAUAUAGCCAGUGCAGUGUCGCAGGGAAGCCGUUAAGUCUGCCGCCUGGGAAGUACGUACGCAAGUAUGAAACUUAAAGGAAUUGGCGGGGGAGCACCACAAGGGGUGAAGCCUGCGGUUCAAUUGGAUUCAACGCCGGG
Molecule: ribosomal RNA, 914 nt
Filed under: uncultured marine archaeon
Lineage: Archaea
Description: bacterial SSU rRNA
Rfam family: Archaeal small subunit ribosomal RNA
Source: RNAcentral